GCCUGGAAAAGAAGGUCAGUCGAGUUUGAGUCUGGCAGAGGUUCCCGGUACAUGACCCAAUGCACUGUUGGAAUUUCUGAGAGAGGUUCCCUUAAAACAUCCUCAACCCAGCCGACAUGACAAUAUGAGCUUUGCAAAGGCCCGAGAACACGGAGACACUUUCUGUGUAAAAGCCGUCGCUUCUCCACAGCAGCUGGCCGAGAGGGAUCCUCUCGCGUUGACUACUGGUCCUGAGGAAGGACACCCUUCUCCUUGGCCCGGGGAGAAAGACACACAGUGAUCUUCCUCUUUGGCCCCUCAUGACGGGACAUCCAGCCGCACUUGGAUGAGGUUUCGUGAGCACAUAAUAAAAUGUCAUCCCCUCCAGCCAUAAA
Molecule: long non-coding RNA, 374 nt
Organism: Mesocricetus auratus (golden hamster)
Lineage: Eukaryota; Metazoa; Chordata; Mammalia; Rodentia; Cricetidae
Exons: 2
Source: RefSeq, a predicted model, not a curated record